UACGUAGGGGGCGAGCGUUGUUCGGAUUUACUGGGCGUAAAGGGCGCGUAGGCGGCGCGUAAAGUCGGACAUGAAAUCAUUGGGCUUAACCCAAUGGCUGUGCCCGAUACUUGCGUGCUUAGAGUGCGGGAGUGGCAAUCGGAAUUCUCGGUGUAGCGGUGAAAUGCGUAGAUAUCGAGAGGAACUCCAGUGACGAAGGUGGGUUGCUGGACCGACACUGACGCUGAGGCGCGAAAGCUAGGGGAGCAAACGGG
This 254-nucleotide ribosomal RNA is filed under the name uncultured bacterium. RNAcentral's name for it is "partial 16S ribosomal RNA". It matches the Rfam family "Bacterial small subunit ribosomal RNA", at positions 524 to 776 of the family's 1533-position model. The record is from RNAcentral.